CUGGAGUUACUAGUAAUCGCAGAUCAGAAUGCUGCGGUGAAUGCGUUCCCGGGUCUUGUACACACCGCCCGUCACACCACGGGAGUUGGAGACGCCCGAAGCCGAUUAUCUAACCUUUUGGAAGAAGUCGUCGAAGGUGGAAUCAAUAACUGGGGUGAAGUCGUAACAAGGUAGCCGUAUCGGAAGGUGCGGCUGGAUCACCUCCUUUCUAAGGCGAAUUG
This 221-nucleotide ribosomal RNA is filed under the name Clostridioides difficile. RNAcentral's name for it is "partial 16S ribosomal RNA". It matches the Rfam family "Bacterial small subunit ribosomal RNA", at positions 1326 to 1533 of the family's 1533-position model. The record is from RNAcentral. Lineage: Bacteria; Bacillati; Bacillota; Clostridia; Peptostreptococcales; Peptostreptococcaceae.